RNAcentral lists this ribosomal RNA (947 nucleotides) under Vibrio sp. 809M. Its description in RNAcentral is "bacterial SSU rRNA". It matches the Rfam family "Bacterial small subunit ribosomal RNA", at positions 380 to 1307 of the family's 1533-position model. Lineage: Bacteria; Pseudomonadati; Pseudomonadota; Gammaproteobacteria; Vibrionales; Vibrionaceae. The record is from RNAcentral.
GCCUGGAUGCAGCCAUGCCGCGUGAUAUGAAGAAGGCCUUCGGGAUUGAUAAAGCUACUUUCAGUUUGUGAGGAAGGGGGUGUCGUUAAUAGCGGCAUCCUCUUGACGUUAGCAACAGAAGAAGCACCGGCUAACUCCGUGCCAGCAGCCGCGGUAAUACGGAGGGUGCGAGCGUUAAUCGGAAUUACUGGGCGUAAAGCGCAUGCAGGUGGUUCAUUAAGUCAGAUGUGAAAGCCCGGGGCUCAACCUCGGAACUGCAUUUGAAACUGGUGAACUAGAGUACUGUAGAGGGGGGUAGAAUUUCAGGUGUAGCGGUGAAAUGCGUAGAGAUCUGAAGGAAUACCAGUGGCGAAGGCGGCCCCCUGGACAGAUACUGACACUCAGAUGCGAAAGCGUGGGGAGCAAACAGGAUUAGAUACCCUGGUAGUCCACGCCGUAAACGAUGUCUACUUGGAGGUUGUGGCCUUGAGCCGUGGCUUUCGGAGCUAACGCGUUAAGUAGACCGCCUGGGGAGUACGGUCGCAAGAUUAAAACUCAAAUGAAUUGACGGGGGCCCGCACAAGCGGUGGAGCAUGUGGUUUAAUUCGAUGCAACGCGAAGAACCUUACCUACUCUUGACAUCCAGAGAAGCCAGCGUCAGACGCAGGCGUGCCUUCGGGAGCUCUGAUACAGGGCUGCAUGGCUGUCGUCAGCUCGUGUUGUGAAAUGUUGGGCUAAGACCCGCACCGAGCUGAAACCCUUUAUCCUUGUUUGCCACCGAGUAAUGUCUGGGAACUCCAGGGAAGACUGCCGGUGAAUAAACCCUGAAGAAACGUGGGGACCAACGUCCUAGUCAUUCAUGGCCCCUUACGAGCUAGGGCUUCCACCCUGUGCCUACAAUGGUCACCUUAACCCUAGGGGCAGCCGAACCUUUGCCACAGUUGGACCUUAAUCCCCAAAAAAGGGUG